CACCGGCGCCACGAGUGGUCGUCACGAUUAUUGGGCCUAAAGCGUCCGUAGCUGGUAUGGUGCAUCCCUUGUGAAAUUGUGCGGCUUAACCGCACAGCGUGCAGGGGACACGGCCAUGCUCGAGACCGGGAGGCGUGCGAGGUAUUCCAUAGGGACCGGUAAAAUGGGAUAAUCUAUGGAGGACCACCGAUGGCGAAGGCAUCGCACGAGAACGGAUCUGACAGUGAGGGACGAAAGCCAGGGGAGCGAA
RNAcentral lists this ribosomal RNA (250 nucleotides) under uncultured archaeon. RNAcentral describes it as "partial 16S ribosomal RNA". It matches the Rfam family "Archaeal small subunit ribosomal RNA", at positions 474 to 723 of the family's 1478-position model. The record is from RNAcentral.